Molecule: long non-coding RNA, 1363 nt
Organism: Bubalus bubalis (water buffalo)
Lineage: Eukaryota; Metazoa; Chordata; Mammalia; Artiodactyla; Bovidae
Exons: 2
Source: RefSeq, a predicted model, not a curated record
AUGGUAUCACCGACUCAAUGGAUCAAACUCUGGGAGAGAGUGGAGGACAGAAAAGCCUGGCAUGCCGCAGUCCAUGGGAUCACAAAGAAUCGGACACAACUUAGUGACUGAACAGCAACAACAAUUUGAUAGAACAGUUUUGAAAGCCAGACUGGGACAUUUUUAUCCCAAGUUUUGUAGGUAAUGUUGAAAAAGUGAACAUUAUUUGCAAUAUGAAAAAUAGCUAUAAUGAAUUGUGCAAGAUUAAUAGAACCAUGAAGAAUAAAUUGGAGUGUGUGGGCAGAUGGAGUGUGAGAGAUUUGUUAAAAGGUCAUUCAGUGGUUCAGCUGAGCUAAAGAGACUAGGGAAAUGAUGUUAGACAAAAAAGCAAAUUCAAGCAAUUUUCUUAUUUAAGUUCAAAAUGGAUGGUAAAGCAGCAGAGACGACUCGAAACAUCAACAACACAUUUGGCCCAGAAACUGCUAACAAAUGUACAAGGCUGUGGUGGUUCAAGGAGUUUUGCAAAGGAGAUGAGAGCCUUGAAGGUGAGGAGCACAGUGACCGGCCAUUGGACGGUGACAACGACUAACUGAGAGCCGUCAUCACAGCUGAUUAUGUGAAAAGUUGCCCCAGGACUCACCGUCGACCAUCCUAUGGUUGUUCAGCAUUUGAAGCAAAUUGUAAAGGUGAGAAAGCUCAAUAAGUGGGUGCCUCAUGGGCUGACCCAAAAUUGAAAAAGUUGUCGUUCUGAAGUGUCUUCUCUUAUUCUACACAACAAUGAGCCAUUUCUCAAUCGGAUUAUGAGGUGUGACAAAAAGUGGAUUGUAUACAACAACCAGUGAUGACCAGUUCAGAGGUUGGACCGAGAAGUUCCAAAGCACUUUCCAAAGCCACACUUGCACCAAAAAAUGUAACUUGGUGGUCUUCUGCCAGUCUGAUCCGCUACAGUUUUCUGAAUCCCGGUGAAACCAUGACAUCUGGGAAGUAUGCUCAGCAAAUUGAUGAGAUGCACCAAAAACUGCAGCCCCUGCAGCCGGCAUUGGUCAACAGAAGGGGCCAAAAUAUUCUCCACGACAACACCUGACCACGUGCGGUACAGCCAACGCUUCAAAAGUUGAAUGAACUGGGCUGUGAAGGUUUGCCUCAUCUGCCAUAUUCACCUGAUCUCACCCACCGACUGCCACUUGUUCAACCACCUUGACAACUUUUUGCAGGGAAAAUGCUUCCACAGCCAGCAGAAUGCAGAAAAUGCUGUCCAAGAGUUCACUGAAUCCUGAAAUAUGGAUUUUUAAGUUAAAAGAAUAAACAAACUUAUUUCUCAUUGGCAAAAAUGUGUUGAUUGUAAUAGUUCUUAUGCUAAUUAAUAAACAUGUGUUUGAACCUA